This 669-nucleotide long non-coding RNA is filed under the name Nicotiana benthamiana. Its description in RNAcentral is "long non-coding RNA (NBEN_LNC036804)". The record is from RNAcentral. Lineage: Eukaryota; Viridiplantae; Streptophyta; Magnoliopsida; Solanales; Solanaceae.
GAAAGAUUAAAACAGUCUGUCAGAAUUUCCAAUUUCCGAACAGGUGACUGCACCCUAAUAAAAAUCUUAGUGCGGCAGAAAUCUCCUUUGGAAAAGGCGAUAAUUAUUAGUUGAUUUAGCAGAGAAUGAAAUGAAUGUGCUUCUACUGGCAAAUGGUAAUGAACAUGUUUUUGCGGUCAUCCAAGCAAGUGCCUUAACUAGCCACACUUUUAUGGCUUAUCCCAGCAGCUUUCAGCAAAAUUAAUAACAGAAAGCUUUUACAACUUUCAAAGAAUAGGAAAAUAUGAUGAACUGAGAGACCGGAAUCUGAUAAAGCAAUCACGGGAACCAGAAACUGAAAAGAAAUGGCAGCAUCUUCCUAUCACUAAAUUAGGAGUCAUAACAAGAAAGCUAGUGGGUAAGGCAUAUAUUAACAAACGUAAAAGAAAGAAGUACCUGGAUGGUGUUCAUCUGUUCUUCAACAGGUGCAGCAUACAUUAACAAACGUAAAAGAAAGAAGUACCUGGAUGGUGUUCAUCUGUUCUUCAACAGGUGCAAGUGCUAGUGCAUCCUCUGAAGUUGGAGCACCUUUAACACCAGCACCCAAAUUAUGGUCAGAUUGGUUAGCAUCAUGCUGAGGGCCCUCAAUAGCCAGAGGACUUAAAAGAUCACCCAGGAGAUCAGGCGAAG